Molecule: ribosomal RNA, 393 nt
Filed under: uncultured bacterium
Lineage: Bacteria
Description: partial 16S ribosomal RNA
Rfam family: Bacterial small subunit ribosomal RNA
Source: RNAcentral
AUACGGAGGAUCCGAGCGUUAUCCGGAUUUAUUGGGUUUAAAGGGUGCGCAGGCGGGAGAUUAAGUUGGCGGUGAAAUUUUGCAGCUCAACUGUAAAAGUGCCUUCGAAACUGGGUUCCUUGAGUGUAGAUGAAGUAGGCGGAAUUUGCGGUGUAGCGGUGAAAGGCAUAGAUAUCACGAGGAACUCCGAUUGCGCAGGCAGCUUACUAAACUACUACUGACGCUCAGGCACGAAGGCGUGGGGAUCAAACAGGAUUAUAUACCCUGGUAGUCCACGCAGUAAACGAUAAUUACUAGCUGUUUGCGAUACAAUGUAAGCGGCUGAGCGAAAGCGUUAAGUAAUCCACCUGGGGAGUACGUUCGCAAGAAUGAAACUCAAAUGAAUUGACGGGG